UACGAAGGGUGCAAACGUUGCUCGGAAUUAUUGGGCGUAAAGCGCACGUAGGCGGCAUUGCAAGUCGGAUGUGAAAUCCCUCGGCUUAACCAAGGAAGUGCAUCCGAAACUGCAGUGCUUGAGUACUUGAAGAGGAUCGCGGAAUUCCCGGUGUAGAGGUGAAAUUCGUAGAUAUCGGGAGGAACACCAGUGGCGAAGGCGGCGUCUGGGAAGAUACUGACGCUGAGGCACGAAAGCGUGGGGAUCAACAGG
This 252-nucleotide ribosomal RNA is filed under the name uncultured bacterium. Its description in RNAcentral is "partial 16S ribosomal RNA". It matches the Rfam family "Bacterial small subunit ribosomal RNA", at positions 524 to 775 of the family's 1533-position model. The record is from RNAcentral.